This is an RNA transcript of Cryptomeria japonica (Japanese cedar), 4248 nucleotides long. RefSeq lists it as uncharacterized. Lineage: Eukaryota; Viridiplantae; Streptophyta; Pinopsida; Cupressales; Cupressaceae. The record is from RefSeq and is a predicted model, not a curated record. The transcript is spliced from 5 exons.
UUCAUUUCUUUCUUCUCCAUUUAUUUUUUUAUUUUUAAUUAAGUUCGCCACUUAUUUAAUUCCUGUCUGAGUAUUUUUCAAUAAAACAUUGAUGCAGAGGUUAUCAUUUGUUGUUAAAAUGGAGAGAUUAUCUGUAAUGGUAAGCUUCUUUAUUGUCAUGACCAGCUGUUCUGAAUGCUUUCCACAUGAGAGAGAUGCCCUUGUCGCUUUCAAGGUUGAGUAUUAUAUGCCAAGUAGAAAGGCUUGAGUUACUGUUCGAGACAUCUUUCCUUUUUUAAGUGCUAAGAUGCUGCCGUGAUGCACGUCUCUCUAAAUCCCCGCUUUCAAAGAAUUAAUAAUUCUGGGUUUGGCCCCACAAUGUUCUCUUUCGUCCUCCUCAAUUAUGUAGUGCACAGAUAUAAAUCCUUUGCUAUUGCUGUAUCCCUUUAUCAAAUCCAGCCCUUUCUGCUUUAGGACGUUUCAUACAUUUUGCAGGUCUAGUCCUGCGUUCAUGGCUUCAUCCUCGUCCUAUCCUCAGGCAAGAUCGAUUGUAUGUGCUAAACUGUAUGAUGUAUUCAUCAGUCAUCGAGGUCCUGACGUCAAAGAAACCCUUGCUAAACAACUCUAUGACCUUCUUAAGGCAUUUUUAGACCCCGAAGAGAUCGAAGGGGGAGGUUCUAUUACGUCUGCCAUUCACAACGCCAUAUGCUCAUCUCGUGUGCAAAUAGCCAUUUUUUCAAAAAGAUAUGCGAAGUCCUCAUGGUGUUUAGACGAGAGCUGGUUCUUAUGUUACAAGAAACUGAUGCUCUCUUUAUUCCUGUCUUCUACCAUGUCCAGCCGUGGGAGCUACGCCACAUUGACAACAAGUCACAGUAUGCUGUGGCAUUUUCUGACUAUCAAAGAAAAGGCAGAAAUCUUGAUAGGUUGAAUGGAUGGAAAGAGGCCCUCGCAUCUGCUGCAGACAUAUUUGGUUAUGAACUUAGCCGGCAUGAAGACAAUUUGUGUGAAAAAAUUGUCUCGUGUGAUACAAGUAGUGCAAGAAAAGAAAAACAGUAUAGCAUUAGAUGUUGCUAAAUAUCCGGUUGGACUUGCUGAACUCGUCCAAGAUUUUGAAAGGUGUUGUUCAAAGAGGGCUAGGGACAAGGUCAUCAUAAUAGGGAUUUUUGGUCUAGGGGGUUUUGGCAAGUCUACCCUGGCAAAAGAAUUGUUUAACAGGAAGAGUUUAGCUAUCAUACAUCAUGUUUUCUCUCUGAUGUGAGAGAAUCAUAUGCCAGAGGUGAAUUACACUGCUUGCAAAGUCAGUUCUAAGAAGAUCUUUUCCCUCAAGAUCAAGAGAUUAAAAGUCUAAAGAUGGAAAGCUGAAGAAUCAUCUGGGAAGGGCAAGGCAUUUGCAUUUCGUUAUAAUCCUAGAUGAUAUAGAUCAUGAUGAGGACCAGUUAGAUGCCCUUUUACCUGAAGAUUUGCUGAGCUCUGGUAGCCUUGUAAUCAUGACAACCCAUGACCAGAGUGUCUUAAGCGGUACAGAUUUCCGUUAUAAGAUAAAGGGAAUGGAUAAGGAUCGUGCUCAACUUCUCUUCUGUAGACAUGCUUUUCGUGGACAGGGUCCAUCCAUUUCAUAAGAAAAAUUGGUUGAGAACUUCGUGGAAUUCUGUGGAGGUUUACCUCUCUCGCUUAAAGUUCUGGGCACCCAUGUUUAUCGAAGAGAUAAACAUUAUUGGUAGUUAGAAUUGGAAAAGGUUAAGAAAAUCCAGCAGAAAGAUAUAAUGCAAAGACUUAAAAUUAGCUUUGAUGGUCUGGACAGAGCGGAGAAACAGAUAUUUAUAGGUAUAACUUCUUUCUUCAAUAAGAAAGAACAACUUCAUUUGAAAAGUGAUGCUAUAACAAUCUGGAAAGCAUCUGGUUGGAGUGCUGAACAUGCAGUACAAUACCUGCAAGAAAGUGCCUACUUGAACUGGUCAUGGGGCAACAGUAACACUACCUACGCUUUGAAAUGCAAGAUCAACUCUGCGAUCUUGGAAGACAAAUGGCAGACUUGGGCCCUCCUCGGUUUUGGAGACCAGAAAUUCUUAGAUCUAUGGUGUCCCUGUUCGAUUGUAUUUUCCACUGCUUUGAAAUGCACGAUCUGGAAGGGCAAAUGGCAGAUGACUUGGGCCCUCAGCUGUGGAGAUCAGACAUUCGUAGAUCUAUGUGAUCCUUAUAUGUAGGAAGCAAACGGAUUUGAACAAAUCCUGGCAGAAACAAAGGGCAGGUGUUUCAAUUCGUUCAAGGAUUCGUCCCUCCAGAGUCCAAACCAUAAUUACUUAUUUUAUAGGUAGUUCAAAUGACUCCGCUGAGACUGACCUCCUGUGUCUUGACAUAGAUAACCGUGGUUACCUUGGUUGCGAAUUAGAAAACAUUCCUUCCUGGAUUCCUCUACGAAAAUUGCACAAUUUAUCUGUUAACAGCGUGGGAAAUUUGUGGGGCACUUUUCAGAAACGGUUGCAGAUCAAUACCCAGGCCAGUUUUGAGUUGAGAGUGCUGAAGAUUUGCUACUCUCCGUCUUUGGAAAAGCUUCCAGAUUUAAUAGCAAUGUUCAAUUCAUGCGAUCACUUAAACAACUUAGCUAUCUUGGAUCAUUGUGAUUGUGGUUUGGGGAGGGUGUCUUCUUCAGUGGGAAUUUGGAUCUUAGCAAAGGUACAGAUUCAACUAAUUUGGAUUCUUCUCAAGCAACCGGAUGAAUAGCCUUGAAACCAUAGAAUUAAACAGAUUGGAUAAUAUAUCAAAGUUGCUAAUUAGUGGAGAGGUUUGUCCCAGACUUCAAUCAUUGAAAGUUCUACACAUGUGGAAUCUAAAAGAAAUGCACUUAGAGCAGCUAGAGAGACUGAAUACUCUUGACAUGUGGAAAUGCCCCAAAUUGGAAACAAUAUCAGGUUUAUCUUCUCUAACAGGGCUCCAGGUUCUUAAAGUGGAGUAUUGUUUCAAAUUAGAUACACUAUCAUUGUAAUCUUAUGUAACAGGGCUUCAGUCUCUUAAAAGUGUUGGAAAGUCUCCAACUGGAACAAAUAUCAGAGUUAUCUUCUCUAAUAGGACUUCAGUCUCUUAAAGUGUUGGAAAGUCUCCAACUAGAACAAAUAUCAGAGUUAUCUUCUCUAAUAGGACUUCAGUCUCUUAAAGUGUUGGAAAGUCUCCAACUAGAACAAAUAUCAGAGUUAUCUUCUCUAAUAGGACUUCAGUCUCUUAAAGUUUUGGGAUGUGACUGUAAAACAAUAUCAGGGUUAUCUUCUCCAACAGGGCUUCAGUCUCUUGAAUUGUCCAUAUUUCUGAAAUUGGAAACAUUAUCAGGGUUAAUAACCAGGUGCUUCAGUCUCUCACAGUGAAAAACUGUCCUGAAUUGGAAACAAUAUCAGAGUUGUCUUCUCUAGCAGGGCCCUAAGUCUCUUAAAAGUGUCGAGCUGUCCCAAACUGAAAACAAUAUCGGGCUUUUCUUCUCUAGCAGGGCUUCAAAUGUUAAGGGUUGAAAUUCAGGAUUUUAUUAGGAUGUGACCAGCUGCAGAGCAUAUGUGGGGUGCUGGAGCGGGGUGUGGAAGAGAGUCGCCACAAUUGGAAAGCGUGGAAAUUGAAGUUCCUGAUGAUAGAUAUGCAUGGGUUCGGAAUUUCAUUGAAGGACCGAGGCCGCUAUGAGGGUAUGCCGUUUUAACAGGGAUGCCAGUGGAUACAGCACUGAUCGAGUUGAAUGAAAAUUUGUUUUCUGAAGUGGAUACAGGGAUGCCAGUGGAUACAGCACUGUUCGAGUUGAAUGAAAAUUUGUUUUCUGAAGUGGAUACAGUCAUUCAGAUUGAGAAAGGAGAGCAUUCGCUAGAAAUGGAAAGCUCAUCAAGUGCAAUCUCUAUAAAUGCUUUCCUUGUAAGGUCUGGUAGCAAUCCUUACAAAAAAUUCAAUCUGUAAUUUACCCAUUUGCAAUCCUUCCCACUUCGAAAGGAAUUGAUGAUUACAAUUUUACAAACCCCGCAUAGAAGUAAUGAUGUAAAGCUAACAAGUGUCCCAAUAGAGGUGGAUGAAGGGGAAGAAGGGAAAGCUUUAGUUAUAAUGCAAAGAAUUAUUGACAGAUUAUAUAAAAGUUAGCAGCAUAUGAGGGGCUGAAGAAAAAAAAACAAAGUAAAAGUAUUGAAAGUGUGAUUUGCUUUGAUUGCCAGCUGUUGAAAAGCUUUGGUCAUCUUUGUUUUAUCCAUUUCUAAUAUUUUAUGUAUGGAAUUUUCUUCUGCACUCAAUUUUUAGAAAAAUCUUGUCUUA